Molecule: small nucleolar RNA, 124 nt
Organism: Capra hircus (goat)
Lineage: Eukaryota; Metazoa; Chordata; Mammalia; Artiodactyla; Bovidae
Gene: SNORA70
Rfam family: Small nucleolar RNA SNORA70
About the family: snoRNA U70 seems to be exclusive to mammals and is a member of the H/ACA class of snoRNA which contain H (ANANNA) and ACA box motifs.
Source: Ensembl
UUGCAGUCAGUUAUGCCAACUGACCUCUUUUCCCCAUAGGGGUCCAUGCACCAUGGCUGCAAAGAGCAGCCUCCUUGGUGGCUGCUGUCUGUAGGGGUGGCUCUAAGGGGCCUUGGAGACAGCC